This 493-nucleotide ribosomal RNA is filed under the name uncultured bacterium. RNAcentral describes it as "partial 16S ribosomal RNA". It matches the Rfam family "Bacterial small subunit ribosomal RNA", at positions 30 to 507 of the family's 1533-position model. The record is from RNAcentral.
AUUGAACGCUGGCGGCAUGCUUUACACAUGCAAGUCGAACGGCAACGAGGAGAAGCUUGCUUCUCUGUCGGCGAGUGGCGAACGGGUGAGUAUAGCAUCGGAACGUGCCAAGUAGUGGGGGAUAACCAAACGAAAGUUUGGCUAAUACCGCGUAAGCUCCAAGGAGGAAAGUAGGGGACCUAAAUAAGGCCUUACGCUAUUUGAUCGGCCGAUGUCGGAUUAGCUAGUUGGUGGGGUAAUGGCUCACCAAGGCAAUGAUCCGUAGCGGGUCUGAGAGGACGAUCGGCCACACUGGGACUGAGACACGGCCCAGACUCCUACGGGAGGCAGCAGUGGGGAAUUUUGGACAAUGGGGGAAACCCUGAUCCAGCCAUGCCGCGUGUAUGAAGAAGGCCUUAGGGUUGUAAAGUACUUUUGUUAGGGAAGAAAAGCUAGUUUUUAAUAAAAAUUAGUGAUGACGGUACCUAAAGAAUAAGCACCGGCUAACUACGUG